UUCCAUGAAGUCAGCAUUAGGGUUUUAAACCCUAAACUGAAUUUUCCUUUUAAUCAGCAUUAGGGUUUUAAACCCUAAACUGAACUUUUCCUUUUAGUCAGCAUUAGGGUUUUAAACCCUAAACUGAACUUUUUUCCAUUCAGCCAGCAUUAGGGUUUUAAACCCUAAACUGAGCUUUUCCAUGCAAUCAGCAUUAGGGUUUUAAACCCUAAACUGAAUUUUCCCUUCAGUCAGCAUUAGUGUUUUAAACAUAAACUGAACUUUUUUCCUUUAGUCAGCAUUAGGGUUUUAAACCCUAAAUUGAACUUUUCAUUUAGUCAGCAUUAGGGUUUUUAAACCCUAAACUGAACUUUCCAGCCAGUCAGCAUUAGGGUUUUAAACCCUAAACUGAACUCUUUUCCAUUCAGUCAGCAUUAGGGUUUUAAACCCUAAACUGAACUUUUCCUUUAAUCAGCAUUAGGGUCUUAAACCCUAAACUGAAUUUUUCCUUUCAGUCAGCAUUAGGGUUUUAAACCCUAAACUGAACUUUUCCUUUAGUCAGCAUUAGGGUUUUAAACCCUAAACUGAACUUUUUCCUUUCAGUCAGCAUUAGGGUUUUAAACCCUAAACUGAAUUUUCCCUUUAGUCAGCAUUAGGGUUUUA
Molecule: long non-coding RNA, 642 nt
Filed under: Nicotiana tabacum (common tobacco)
Lineage: Eukaryota; Viridiplantae; Streptophyta; Magnoliopsida; Solanales; Solanaceae
Description: long non-coding RNA (NTAB_LNC019187)
Source: RNAcentral